GAUGAAUGCUGGCGGCGUGCCUAAUACAUGCAAGUCGAGCGGUAACAGGGCUUCACCGUGUCCUUGACACUCCGGGCUAUUAUGCGGGAGGAAAGAUUCGAGGAUACAGUGAAGUUGCUGACGAGCGGCGGACGGCUGAGUAACGCGUGGGAACAUACCCUAAAGUAAGGGAUAACUAGUCGAAAGAUUAGUUAAUACCGUAUGUGCUCUUCGGAGUAAAGAAUUUAUUCGCUUUAGGAAUGGCCUGCGUACGAUUAGAUAGUUGGUGAGGUAAUGGCUCACCAAGUCGACGAUCGUUAGAUGGUUUGAGAGGAUGAUCAUCCAGACUGGGACUGAGACACGGCCCAGACUCC
This 353-nucleotide ribosomal RNA is filed under the name uncultured bacterium. RNAcentral's name for it is "bacterial SSU rRNA". It matches the Rfam family "Bacterial small subunit ribosomal RNA", at positions 28 to 339 of the family's 1533-position model. The record is from RNAcentral.